This is a long non-coding RNA of Eleginops maclovinus (Patagonian blennie), 601 nucleotides long. RefSeq lists it as uncharacterized. The transcript has 3 exons. The record is from RefSeq and is a predicted model, not a curated record. NCBI's taxonomy places the organism in Eukaryota, Metazoa, Chordata, Actinopteri, Perciformes, Eleginopidae.
UCACAUGACGUGGCGAAUCGGACGCCGUCGGGACGUGCGUGCGGUUCGCGCUCUGUCUCUCCCGGACCGACGUCGAGGCAGCUGCACGCUUGCUCUCGCGGUGCUGUAGAGGCUAAUGUAGAGAUCAACAUGUCUGGCUGUUGAGUCACUAUUUUAAUCGCCGCAGAGAGCGAGACCCUUUUUUUGUUGUUGCUGUCGUUUGGUUAGUGGAUCGUGUAUUCUACAAAAAAAAGACGAACGAGAGCUGUUGCCUGGACGGACGAGAGCCGUGAAACCUGCAUUUGUGCCGGAGAAUAUAUGUGUGUGCGUGUGAUACCUGAGCCUCUGGCCGGGUCUUUUUCUUUUCUAUAUUCUUUUCUCUAUAUGGUUCCUGUUUCAAGAUCUACAUGAAGACUUCUUCUACUGAGACUCUCCCAGUUCUGUAAGGUAGAGGGGACUCAGUAGUCGUGGCGAGCUACCCAAAAUAAAGCUGUGUAUUAGUGAGUUAGGAUUUGGACUGUGAAUUGUGAUUUGAUAUCUUGUGUGUGUUGACAUUUUAUUUUUUUAUGAUUUUUAUUUUCCUCAUUCCCUUUACCCAAUACAAUUUAACACGUAAAACUUA